AUUGAACGCUGGCGGAAUGCUUUACACAUGCAAGUCGAACGGCAGCACGGACUUCGGUCUGGUGGCGAGUGGCGAACGGGUGAGUAAUGUAUCGGAACGUGCCCAGUCGUGGGGGAUAACGUAGUGAAAAUUACGCUAAUACUGCAUACGAUCUAUGGAUGAAAGCGGGGGAUCGCAAGACCUCGCGCGAUUGGAGCGGCCGAUAUCAGAUUAGGUAGUUGGUGGGGUAAAGGCCCACCAAGCCAACGAUCUGUAGCUGGUCUGAGAGGACGACCAGCCACACUGGAACUGAGAGCCGGUCCAGACUCCUACGGGAGGCAGCAGUGGGGAAUUUUGGACAAUGGGCGAAAGCCUGAUCCAGCCAUUCCGCGUGCAGGAUGAAGGCCCUCGGGUUGUAAACUGCUUUUGUACAGAACGAAAAGGUUUCUACUAAUACUAGGAGCUCAUGACGGUACUGUAAGAAUAAGCACCGGCUAACUACGUGCCAGCAGCCGCAGUAA
Molecule: ribosomal RNA, 500 nt
Filed under: uncultured bacterium
Lineage: Bacteria
Description: partial 16S ribosomal RNA
Rfam family: Bacterial small subunit ribosomal RNA
Source: RNAcentral